ACCGGGAAUGGUUAGAGGCCAAAUCGGCCUUUGGGUGGCAAGCGGGGUUCGAUUCCCCGCCCCGGUACCA
Molecule: transfer RNA, 70 nt
Filed under: Lewinella sp. W8
Lineage: Bacteria; Pseudomonadati; Bacteroidota; Saprospiria; Saprospirales; Lewinellaceae
Description: tRNA-Pro
Source: RNAcentral